Molecule: ribosomal RNA, 386 nt
Filed under: uncultured bacterium
Lineage: Bacteria
Description: bacterial SSU rRNA
Rfam family: Archaeal small subunit ribosomal RNA
Source: RNAcentral
GCGCGAAAACUUUACAAUGCUGGCAACAGCGAUAAGGGAACCUCGAGUGCCAGGUUACAAAUCUGGCUGUCGAGAUGCCUAAAAAGCAUUUCAUAGCAAGGGCCGGGCAAGACCGGUGCCAGCCGCCGCGUUAACACCGGCGGCUCGAGUGGUAACCGUUAUUUUUGGUUUAAAUGGUCUGUAGCCGGCCGGAUAAGUUUUUUGAGAAAUUUGGGAGCUUAACUGUCAGGCUUUCAGGAGAUACUGUCUUGCUUGAGGGCGGGAGAGGUGAGAGGUACUUCAGGGGUAGGGGUGAAAUCAUGUAAUCCUUGAAGGACCACCAGUGGCGAAGGCGUCUCACCAGAACGGACCUGACGGCAAGGGACGAAAGCUAGGGGCACGAACCG